GGAAGGACUGUAGCUCAGUGGUAGGGCAUCUGCCUUGCAUACAGAAGGUCCCAGGUUCAAUCCCUGGCGUCUCCA
Non-coding RNA from Podarcis lilfordi (Lilford's wall lizard), 75 nucleotides. The record is from the annotation of a GenBank genome assembly. NCBI's taxonomy places the organism in Eukaryota, Metazoa, Chordata, Lepidosauria, Squamata, Lacertidae.